This 256-nucleotide long non-coding RNA is filed under the name Nicotiana benthamiana. Its description in RNAcentral is "long non-coding RNA (NBEN_LNC025787)". The record is from RNAcentral. Lineage: Eukaryota; Viridiplantae; Streptophyta; Magnoliopsida; Solanales; Solanaceae.
UCCAUUCCCCAGCUAUGUAGUCUGUCCCUGGUUGGUAGUCUGUCUUGUAGGGCUAGCCACAGAUUGAACACUGUUUUUGGUCUGGCUUGGUUCUGUAUAAUUAAGUUCUUCCAUGGGACUGGUGGCACUUCUUGCAACUGCGACUGGUACAGCUGUUUAGUGGUGCAUUUCUGAUGUCUCCAGUUUUGGAUCCUUUGUAGGGUAUCCCUGGAUUGGAUGAUCUUCUUAACCAUCCAACUGGCUUGGGCAGGGAUUG